Molecule: non-coding RNA, 3223 nt
Organism: Macaca mulatta (Rhesus monkey)
Lineage: Eukaryota; Metazoa; Chordata; Mammalia; Primates; Cercopithecidae
Source: RefSeq, a predicted model, not a curated record
UCCCAGUCAGCCACCAGUCCAUCACCAUCGCCUCGAGCUCAGCUUUUUCCACUCCCACACAUGAGUGAGAUCCUGAGAUGUUUGUCUUCCUGUGCCUGGCUUAUUUCCCCAAUUCCUCCAGGCUCACCCAUGCAGCUGAAAUGACAGGAUUCCUUUCUUUUCUGGCUGAAUAGCAUCCACUGUGCCUGCGCACCACAUUUUCCUUAUCCGUGCAUCCGCUGAUGGCCACUGAGGUGGAUUCCAGAUCUUGGCCGUCGUGAAUACUGCUGCAAUGAACAGGGACAUGCAGGAUUAGAUGUUCCCUGUGAAAAGGUGGCUGUGAAUGAAGGGAAGUCAGGGGAAGUCACAGACUCUCCGGCCUUGGGCCACGCAUCAGAGGCCAGGAGCCCCACAGGGACAUUGGGGCUCCCAGUGGCUGGCAGCUGGGCUGCUGAGGGCUCACAGCCAGGCCUCUCUCCAUGAACUGCUCUCAACCAGAUGCCCCCGGCCCAUGCCAGUGCCCUUCCCAGGGACAUGACCCACCCCAUGACUGGUCUAAGAGGGGCAUGAGGCUCUCCCACUGGCCCCUUAAGGGACCACCCUGUGGGGCCCUCCAGUCCCAGAGCGGCCUGGGGGUUCCACAGAGGCCUUGCUUGCAACUGUGUGGCAUCCAGACACACGACAUCUGGGCUUCGCCACCCCAGCAUCGUGCUCCUUCACUCACCCCCUGCCCCAAAUCCCCGCAGCUGUCACAGCCAGAGGGCAGGAGUCGGGGCUCCUCAGGCCAGGCCUGGGGGCCCUCCCACUCUCCCUCAGAAGAGGGCCCCUGAGCCAGAGCUGUUCCCAUGGGGCGGAGCAGAGGAAGGAGUAGCUGCACACACUGAGGGGUGAAGAGAGAGGAGAGCCUGGCCGGUCAGUCCUGGAGACGCCAGGGUGGAGACCAGGGCAGAGCCUGGAGGGACUGCAGGGGGGCCCUUCCCAGUCUCUCCGCACCAAGGUGGCAUCCAGUCUUCUCACCCUGAGCUCGUGAGCACUCCAGGAGGCGGCUCUGCACACUCCAGGCUCACCUCUGACCGCUGCAGCCAGGUGCUGGCCCAUUAUCCAGAGCAGGAGCCAGAGACAGAGGCAAAGUCCAGGUAAGGCUGCUGUCCCCAGGCCCAGGCACGGCACCCACACAAGUCCCCAGGGCCCCUCACUCCCCUGCAGGGUCCUGACCAGACCCUGACCUGAUGCAUGCCCUUCAGGCUCUAGGCACAGACUUGGGGUACAAACCCAGCCCAGUCUAGGCACAGACUUGGGGUGCAAACCCAGCCCGGUCAUCUGCCCGGGAGCCCUGACGGCCUCCUCAGCUCUGUGUAGCCCCCAGCACCUGCACACCCCAGCACGGACUGGGGCAGACAGAAGUCGGUUCAAAUGCUCCAUCCAGCCAUGUGGCCACAGGGACCUUCCUUCCCCUCUUGGAGCCUGAGCUUCCUCUGCUGGAAAGUGGGAUGGCAGCCGCAGGGAUCGCAGCCAUGAGGAGCAGCACCUCACGGAGCACUGGGGCCGGAGCCGCUCCACGCCCUCACCUUCACUCCCGCGCAGCUUGAGAGGCAGCCAGAGUUCUCAGGGCAGCCGUGAGGCUCCACCAGGAAGUGCACUGUUGUCUCCAUUCUCUUUAAGCAGCCAGUGUUUGCAGAAUGCUAGUGCUGGGCAGGGGCCAGUAAGGGGAUGCCAGGCCUCCUGCUACGGCACAGCUUCCUGCUCUGGGACCCCACAUCCCUCCCCUCCCCAGCCCCCGACCAUCCCUGCUGCCCACCUCACAGCCUCCCACACCUGCAGCCUUCAGCCCUCGUCCUUAUGGAGGAGGCCAGGCCCUGCGCUUCUGUGGAGAGACAGCCUCGAGGCCUCUCUCCUCCCUGGGUGUGUCCAUCAGGCCUGACCUGGACUUUCCCAAGCAGGGCAGGAGCUGGCGGAGGCUGCGAGUUUCUGCGUGUGCCUCAGGCCAGUGUUUCCUGGGGCAAUGCAGCUCUCAGCAACCUGCUGACAUCUUUCUUACCUCUGGUCUUUUACCGGUUUUGCAAACUUUGUCUCCAAAGUUUUGGUCAAAAGAAGAGAAAGAAGAGAGUGAGAUGUUCAGCAGACAUCUGAACACCUUGGAGUGGCAAGAGGGAGGGAGGAUGAAGUAACAAAUUCUCUCUUGGCCGGAUCCUGAUGGGGCUGAGCGAUUUCUUUCCUUGGAGGAACCUGAAGUCCUUGGGAGUCUCUUUGAGACUCUUCUGGGGCAAUAUGGGGUUGUAUUUAAUUGACACUUGGAAAUCCUGGAUAGAUCUACACGUGUCUGUAGACGUGGUGGUACGUGUAUACACACACAGUGCACAUGCCCACACACGCAUCUCCAUUCACGAAGUCAUGCGUCUGUGUAGACACACAAAUGCACGCACAUGCCCGUGCACUGGACAUGCAGAAAUCACCAGGCUCUUGCACGCCACUGUGUGUGGUUCCUAAUUCCAUGUGUCUGGAUCUAGUGGUCACGUGAUUUUCAACAUCCUUAAAGUCACAUCAAAUUCCAGGCUCCUAACCACAUCCAAGUUUGGCCACACCGGUGAGGCCACGCUCAGCCCCUCCAUGGCUGCUCCCUGGGACCCAGUUCCAAAAGCCCAGUGGGGGGUGCAGGGGAUCCUCUGGGCUGGGCGUGAGGGCGCCUUUCUGAGCCCAGCCCCACCCCCUAGGUGCUAAGGGGCACCAAGCCAGCCCCAGCAUCUGAAUGAGACCCUGUGAAGAGCUGAGUCUGCUGGUGAACAUUUCUGCUAAUUUCUGCUAAUGAGACUUAAAUGAGGUGAAGGAUUUGAUGUUCAUUUUUAUUUAUAAAAGGCCACGAAUAAAGAAGAACAGGGGGAGUGAGGACAUUCAGGUGCCCAGGGACCGCUCGGCCCGUCAGGCCAAGUCCCUCCCAUUUCCGGGAGGUUCUGCAGGCGCCUGGGGCCUCCUCUCACUCCUGGGCAGGACUCAGUCUGAAGAGGUCGGCGCUGUGGCUCCAUUCGCUGCAAACCGUAGCGUUUGAAACGCCCAACUCCUUAUUCAAAACCAUUUUUUUUGAACAUGCACUCUCAUCUCUAUUUUAUUUCCUGACAUAAUUACAGUUACAAUAUAGGAAUAACUUGUUUAAUUCAUCAGGCCGCUGGAAACAGCUUCUUCCGGAUGCAGUCGCUGCCUUUGCCCCCCACCCCCCGCUUCCGUUUUAAUAAAUCCAGCCGCACGAUCA